This 848-nucleotide ribosomal RNA is filed under the name uncultured Gammaproteobacteria bacterium. RNAcentral describes it as "bacterial SSU rRNA". It matches the Rfam family "Bacterial small subunit ribosomal RNA", at positions 1 to 840 of the family's 1533-position model. Lineage: Bacteria; Pseudomonadati; Pseudomonadota; Gammaproteobacteria. The record is from RNAcentral.
CCGCGGGAUUAGAGUUUGAUCCUGGCUCAGAUUGAACGCUGGCGGCAGGCUUAACACAUGCAAGUCGAGCGGGGAAGAGUAGCUUGCUACAUUACCUAGCGGCGGACGGGUGAGUAAUGCUUAGGAAUCUGCCUAUUAGUGGGGGACAACAUCUCGAAAGGGAUGCUAAUACCGCAUACGUCCUACGGGAGAAAGCAGGGGACCUUCGGGCCUUGCGCUAAUAGAUGAGCCUAAGUCGGAUUAGCUAGUUGGUGGGGUAAAGGCCUACCAAGGCGACGAUCUGUAGCGGGUCUGAGAGGAUGAUCCGCCACACUGGGACUGAGACACGGCCCAGACUCCUACGGGAGGCAGCAGUGGGGAAUAUUGGACAAUGGGGGGAACCCUGAUCCAGCCAUGCCGCGUGUGUGAAGAAGGCCUUUUGGUUGUAAAGCACUUUAAGCGAGGAGGAGGCUACCGAGAUUAAUACUCUUGGAUAGUGGACGUUACUCGCAGAAUAAGCACCGGCUAACUCUGUGCCAGCAGCCGCGGUAAUACAGAGGGUGCAAGCGUUAAUCGGAUUUACUGGGCGUAAAGCGCGCGUAGGUGGCCAAUUAAGUCAAAUGUGAAAUCCCCGAGCUUAACUUGGGAAUUGCAUUCGAUACUGGUUGGCUAGAGUAUGGGAGAGGAUGGUAGAAUUCCAGGUGUAGCGGUGAAAUGCGUAGAGAUCUGGAGGAAUACCGAUGGCGAAGGCAGCCAUCUGGCCUAAUACUGACACUGAGGUGCGAAAGCAUGGGGAGCAAACAGGAUUAGAUACCCUGGUAGUCCAUGCCGUAAACGAUGUCUACUAGCCGUUGGGGCCUUUGAGGCUU